UGGGGAGUAUUGCACAAUGGGGAAGACCCUGAUGCAGCAACGCCGCGUGAAGGAAGAAGGUCUUCGGAUUGUAAACUGCUGUCCUCAGGGAAGAUAAUGGCGGUACCUGAGGAGGAAGCUCCGGCUAACUACGUGCCAGCAGCCGCGGUAAUACGUAGGGAGCGAGCGUUGUCCGGAUUUACUGGGUGUAAAGGGUGCGUAGGCGGAUCUGCAAGUCAGUAGUGAAAUCCCAGGGCUUAACCCUGGAACUGCUAUUGAAACUGUGGGUCUUGAGUGAGGUAGAGGCAGGCGGAAUUCCCGGUGUAGCGGUGAAAUGCGUAGAGAUCGGGAGGAACACCAGUGGCGAAGGCGGCCUGCUGGGCCUUAACUGACGCUGAGGCACGAAAGCAUGGGUAGCAAACAGGAUUAGAUACCC
RNAcentral lists this ribosomal RNA (415 nucleotides) under uncultured bacterium. Its description in RNAcentral is "bacterial SSU rRNA". It matches the Rfam family "Bacterial small subunit ribosomal RNA", at positions 355 to 787 of the family's 1533-position model. The record is from RNAcentral.